Molecule: long non-coding RNA, 1376 nt
Filed under: Marmota monax (woodchuck)
Lineage: Eukaryota; Metazoa; Chordata; Mammalia; Rodentia; Sciuridae
Source: RNAcentral
UUUUUUUAUUAGCAUUUUAUAAUUGUACAUAAUAAUGGAAGUUGUUAUUACAUAUUUAUAUAUGCAAGUAACAUAAUUCAUUCAAUUUCCUUCCUUGAUACCUCCAUUUUCUUUCCCCUCUCCUCUGGUAGAUUACAUAGUUUUUGAUAUAAAGUAAAUAGCAAUUCAUUUGUUUUUCAAAAAAAAGUCAACUUUAGUUCUAAUUUGUGAAAAGUUUAUAUAAUCUUGUUAUAAGGAAUACUGAGCAAUGUAAGAGAUGUUAUCUACAACAAAAACUUUACAUAAAGGCAAAUAUUUUACACGUGGCAAUUUCUUAGGUCAAUAACUAAUCAGAAUUUGUGGGAAACCAGAGAAAGAUAAUCCAAAUAUGUAGCUACACCUUAUUGUGGCUUGAUAAGAACAUAAAAGAUGAAAGAAUCAAGAAAUUUAUUUCUAAAAUAGGUCUCAUUUUAUGAUACAUGUACACACAUGAGCACAAACAUAUAUAAUGUGUAUCCCAAUUUCACAUUCUACUGACUUCACAUUGUUCUCAGGAUAAAGACAAAAAUCCUCAAUGUUGACAAAAGGACAAGACCCUCCUACUUUUCAGGUCCUCUCUGUAUAUACACUCAUCUUUCAGUUCCUAAGGUUUGCCAUUCAACCUAAUAUGUCACAAGCUGUUCUCUAUGCCAGAAAGCUUCAUGGACUCCAGAAUUUGAAUUGAGGUGGACAUAGAAGUAUAAUAUUUGCUAAGUGUAUAAACUGUUUGGAGGAAUAACAUGUACAAACAUUGGAGAUGUGAGGGAAAACACUGCAGUGGCUAACAACAAAGAGUUUGGCAUUUUUGGCAAAUAGUGCAAGGUCAGAGGGCAUUGAGUGAUCUUCCAUCUUCUAGUUUUUAUUCCCUAUAGAGAAUAAACUAUAUGGAAAGCCAGUCAAAUUAAUAAAAAUUUUUGGAAGGAAUGAUCGUUUUAAAUCUUUUGAUAUACACAGUCAUACAAGUAGACUAAAAAUGUUUUGUUGUAAAAAAGUUUAAAAGGAUGUUCACUAAAACAUAAAAGGAACCUACGUAAGAACUUCAGUGGCUUUAAUAGUAUCAAUUACAGUUGUUAAAACAUGUAAAAUGGACCCUGAUUAGGUAUCUUAUUUAUUCAGUUCAUUUCUACUUAGGAAAUGGAUUUUUUUAUAAUGUAAAGAUGUGCUGUAGUCUGGCCUAUAUCCAAAUUAUCAGAUGUUAAUUUCCAGUGGUGAGAAUCCAACCAAGGACCUCUGUAUGCUAGGCAAACACUACCACUGAGCUAUACCACCAACCUCACAGAUGCUUCAUUAGCAAAAUUUUCUAUGCAAUGUGAUGGAGAAAUGAAAAUCAGUAAUGGAUAUCCCCCAUUCAAGGCCAG